RNAcentral lists this ribosomal RNA (261 nucleotides) under Pedobacter sp. ISO228_OTU18705. RNAcentral's name for it is "partial 16S ribosomal RNA". It matches the Rfam family "Bacterial small subunit ribosomal RNA", at positions 29 to 289 of the family's 1533-position model. Lineage: Bacteria; Pseudomonadati; Bacteroidota; Sphingobacteriia; Sphingobacteriales; Sphingobacteriaceae. The record is from RNAcentral.
AUGAACGCUAGCGGCAGGCCUAAUACAUGCAAGUCGAACGAUAGAUAGAAGCUUGCUUCUAUCGAAAGUGGCGCACGGGUGCGUAACGCGUAUGCAACCUACCUUAAUCUGGGGGAUAGCCCGGAGAAAUCCGGAUUAAUACCGCAUAAAAUCACAGGAUGGCAUUAUCCAAUGAUCAAACAUUUAUGGGAUUGAGAUGGGCAUGCGUGUCAUUAGCUAGUUGGCGGGGUAACGGCCCACCAAGGCGACGAUGACUAGGGG